AAGACCUUACGCUUUUGGAGCGGCCGAUGUCUGAUUAGCUUGUUGGUGAGGUAAAAGCUUACCAAGGCUUCGAUCAGUAGCUGGUCUGAGAGGACGGCCAGCCACACUGGGACUGAGACACGGCCCASACUCCUACGGGAGGCAGCAGUGGGGAAUUUUGGACAAUGGGGGCAACCCUGAUCCAGCCAUGCCGCGUGAGUGAAGAAGGCCUUCGGGUUGUAAAGCUCUUUCAGCCGGAACGAAACGGUUACGGUUAAUACCCGUGACUACUGACGGUACCGGAAGAAGAAGCACCGGCUAACUACGUGCCAGCAGCCGCGGUAAUACGUAGGGUGCAAGCGUUAAUCGGAAUUACUGGGCGUAAAGCGUGCGCAGGUGGUUUUAUAAGUCARAUGUGAAAUCCCCGGGCUUAACCUGGGAACU
This 423-nucleotide ribosomal RNA is filed under the name uncultured bacterium. RNAcentral describes it as "bacterial SSU rRNA". It matches the Rfam family "Bacterial small subunit ribosomal RNA", at positions 207 to 622 of the family's 1533-position model. The record is from RNAcentral.